GAUGUCCUGAUCUUGUCUCUCGUUUCUCUCUUGCUGCCGGUUCCCUGGUCCUGCAAAGUAGAAGUGGGCAAGAGGAGGAAGGCUUUGGAGAAACUGCAAGCAACAGGAGUGAAGAAUCUGCAAGCUCAUCAGGAGGCCAAAGAUGCAAGUCGCAGAAGAUGGAGGGGAAGGCGAGGGAGCCUGGACACUGGCACUUCUCUGAAGAAGUGGGCAAGAGGAGGAAGGCUUUGGAGAAACUGCAAGCAACAGGAGUGAAGAAUCUGCAAGCUCAUCAGGAGGCCAAAGAUGCAAGUCGCAGAAGAUGGAGGGGAAGGCGAGGGAGCCUGGACACUGGCACUUCUCUGAAGAAGUGGGCAAGAGGAGGAAGGCUUUGGAGAAACUGCAAGCAACAGGAGUGAAGAAUCUGCAAGCUCAUCAGGAGGCCAAAGAUGCAAGUCGCAGAAGAUGGAGGGGAAGGCGAGGGAGCCUGGACACUGGCACUUCUCUGAAGAAGUGGGCAAGAGGAGGAAGGCUUUGGAGAAACUGCAAGCAACAGGAGUGAAGAAUCUGCAAGCUCAUCAGGAGGCCAAAGAUGCAAGUCGCAGAAGAUGGAGGGGAAGGCGAGGGAGCCUGGACACUGGCACUUCUCUGAAGAAGUGGGCAAGAGGAGGAAGGCUUUGGAGAAACUGCAAGCAACAGGAGUGAAGAAUCUGCAAGCUCAUCAGGAGGCCAAAGAUGCAAGUCGCAGAAGAUGGAGGGGAAGGCGAGGGAGCCUGGACACUGGCACUUCUCUGAAGGUAGGGGAGGUAUGUGCCCUGUGAGUACCCAGUAAUUCCAGGCCCAGAUAGGAAGACCCUUCCGGCCUGUGUGGCCAGAGACCCACACCCUUUUCUCUUUAUGAGAGAUUUUUGAAGGGUGAACUGAGUCACAUGAGUACAUGAGACUGACAUGCAAUUAUUUUGGUCCUGGAGGUCCAAGAUAGCUGGUGUAUCUGGAAAAAUAUAUCGUGGGAUAAAUCGAGCAGAAGGGAAUUUGUUUAGUUCUUAUUUUUGGAACAUAUAUGUAUUAAAUUCUUCUGCCCUCAGUAGUCUUGGAUUUACAAGCUGUGGUUUUUCAAAUUGUUACCUGUAGUAUGUAAUAACACUUAAGGUAAAUCUGGAGCUUUCACAUUGGAGGGAGAUUUCUGGAAAUGUUUUUAAAAAGUCAUUUUUGGGCUUAUAAGGAAAAAUUCAUUUGUAAAUGUCACAUCUGCUAUUCCUUACAUCAAGUCUUUUUGUUUUUGCAGAAGAAGCAGGAACUUUUCAAUUUAAUUUUUGCUAUUUAAUCUUAGUCACUCUGAUAGUAUUGUUUAGGAAUUUGUUUUUUAUUUGUAGAAGUAUUGAAAUCUAUGAUCCUCUCCAUCUUAUAAAAAAUCUGUAUUGUGAGUCUCUUUAGGGGCCUAAAUCCUACCUAAUUACUUCCGCUCUCACUCAGCUGUUGCAUUCCUGAAAUGAAGCUGGAGUCAUACUCAAUUAAGCUUUGCAAGCACUUCCAGAGCUCUGUAUCUCUGGCAACUACUUAGACCUUUACAGAACCAUGGGUACUUGCUGAGCUUGUUAAAUUAUCAUACAUGCAAAAAACAGUUUUGGUGUUUGAUAAUAACCAAUAUUUUAAUGAAACUGUACUUUAGGAUAAUGAAUUCCAAUGCUUUUAUUGUUAAUCAGUUUGUGUUAAGAAUUUUUAAAAUUAAUUAAAAUAAUCUGAUUAUGAUUCCUUGGUAAAACUGGAUGUAUUCUGUAUUAACUUGAUAGUCUUAACUCUGUCAGUAUCACAAAAAUCUUAUUUUAUAUUUCUUUUUUGCAAUUACAUAUCUAAUGUUGUAUUUUACUUAAUAAAGCUUAUAAAGCUGAGAGUCUUAGUUCUG
Dromaius novaehollandiae (emu) is the source of this 1882-nucleotide long non-coding RNA. RefSeq lists it as uncharacterized. The record is from RefSeq and is a predicted model, not a curated record. Lineage: Eukaryota; Metazoa; Chordata; Aves; Casuariiformes; Dromaiidae. The transcript has 5 exons.